Molecule: ribosomal RNA, 217 nt
Filed under: uncultured bacterium
Lineage: Bacteria
Description: partial 16S ribosomal RNA
Rfam family: Bacterial small subunit ribosomal RNA
Source: RNAcentral
CACGUAGGGUGCGAGCGUUGUCCGGAAUUAUUGGGCGUAAAGAGCUCGUAGGCGGUGUGUCGCGUCGGCCGUGAAAACCUGCAGCUUAACUGUGGGCUUGCGGUCGAUACGGGCAUCACUGGAGUUCGGCAGGGGAGACUGGAAUUCCGUGGUGUAGCGGUGAAAUGCGCAGAUAUCGAGGAGGAACACCGGUGGCGGAAGGCGGGUCUCUGGGCCG